Molecule: ribosomal RNA, 1226 nt
Filed under: Salmonella enterica subsp. enterica serovar Saintpaul
Lineage: Bacteria; Pseudomonadati; Pseudomonadota; Gammaproteobacteria; Enterobacterales; Enterobacteriaceae
Description: partial 23S ribosomal RNA
Rfam family: Bacterial large subunit ribosomal RNA
Source: RNAcentral
AAUCCAUAGGUUAAUGAGGCGAACCGGGGGAACUGAAACAUCUAAGUACCCCGAGGAAAAGAAAUCAACCGAGAUUCCCCCAGUAGCGGCGAGCGAACGGGGAGGAGCCCAGAGCCUGAAUCAGCAUGUGUGUUAGUGGAAGCGUCUGGAAAGGCGCGCGAUACAGGGUGACAGCCCCGUACACAAAAGCGCAUGUGCUGUGAGCUCGAUGAGUAGGGCGGGACACGUGGUAUCCUGUCUGAAUAUGGGGGGACCAUCCUCCAAGGCUAAAUACUCCUGACUGACCGAUAGUGAACCAGUACCGUGAGGGAAAGGCGAAAAGAACCCCGGCGAGGGGAGUGAAAAAGAACCUGAAACCGUGUACGUACAAGCAGUGGGAGCACAGGUUUACCUGUGUGACUGCGUACCUUUUGUAUAAUGGGUCAGCGACUUAUAUUCUGUAGCAAGGUUAACCGUAUAGGGGAGCCGGAGGGAAACCGAGUCUUAAUUGGGCGUUAAGUUGCAGGGUAUAGACCCGAAACCCGGUGAUCUAGCCAUGGGCAGGUUGAAGGUUGGGUAACACUAACUGGAGGACCGAACCGACUAAUGUUGAAAAAUUAGCGGAUGACCUGUGGCUGGGGGUGAAAGGCCAAUCAAACCGGGAGAUAGCUGGUUCUCCCCGAAAGCUAUUUAGGUAGCGCCUCGUGAAUUCAUCUCCGGGGGUAGAGCACUGUUUCGGCUAGGGGGCCAUCCCGGCUUACCAACCCGAUGCAAACUGCGAAUACCGGAGAAUGUUAUCACGGGAGACACACGGCGGGUGCUAACGUCCGUCGUGAAGAGGGAAACAACCCAGACCGCCAGCUAAGGUCCCAAAGUCAUGGUUAAGUGGGAAACGAUGUGGGAAGGCCCAGACAGCCAGGAUGUUGGCUUAGAAGCAGCCAUCAUUUAAAGAAAGCGUAAUAGCUCACUGGUCGAGUCGGCCUGCGCGGAAGAUGUAACGGGGCUAAACCAUGCACCGAAGCUGCGGCAGCGAACGUAUCACCCAAGACAACUUUACGGAGUUGACGAUUGACGGAGCGAAGCGACGUCAAAGCGUUCAUUAAAGUCGAGUUGGCUUAGGGAUACGUUCGUUGGGUAGGGGAGCGUUCUGUAAGCCUGUGAAGGUGUGUCGUGAGGCAUGCUGGAGGUAUCAGAAGUGCGAAUGCUGACAUAAGUAACGAUAAAGCGGGUGAAAAGCCCGCUCGCCG